CCUCUACCAACCUAUGGCUCCCCAACUAUUCAUACAACUAAUCCCCCUGCUGUGCAAGUCCAUAGCAAUCGUUUCCUGCUGCCUGUUGUUGGUCAGUCUAAGCCACUCUGUUUCGACGUUCCUCUUCCUCACAAACUCAGACUCCUGCAGGAUUCAGCUUCAGGUUAGACAUUAAGAGAUGUCUGUUCUACAUCUGCAUAUAUUUAA
Molecule: long non-coding RNA, 207 nt
Organism: Carassius gibelio (silver crucian carp)
Lineage: Eukaryota; Metazoa; Chordata; Actinopteri; Cypriniformes; Cyprinidae
Exons: 3
Source: RefSeq, a predicted model, not a curated record